CCUACGGGGGGCAGCAGUGGGGAAUAUUGGACAAUGGGCGCAAGCCUGAUCCAGCCAUGCCGCGUGAGUGAUGAAGGCCUUAGGGUUGUAAAGCUCUUUCAGUGGGGAAGAUAAUGACGGUACCCACAGAAGAAGCCCCGGCUAACUUCGUGCCAGCAGCCGCGGUAAUACGAAGGGGGCUAGCGUUGUUCGGAUUUACUGGGCGUAAAGCGCACGUAGGCGGUUUGUUAAGUGAGAGGUGAAAUCCCAGAGCUCAACUCUGGAACUGCCUUUCAUACUGGCAAGCUAGAGUCCGGAAGAGGUAAGUGGAACUCCUAGUGUAGAGGUGGAAUUCGUAGAUAUUAGGAAGAACACCAGUGGCGAAGGCGGCUUACUGGUCCGGAACUGACGCUGAGGUGCGAAAGCGUGGGGAGCAAACAGGAUUAGAUACCC
Molecule: ribosomal RNA, 432 nt
Filed under: uncultured bacterium
Lineage: Bacteria
Description: bacterial SSU rRNA
Rfam family: Bacterial small subunit ribosomal RNA
Source: RNAcentral